RNAcentral lists this ribosomal RNA (256 nucleotides) under uncultured bacterium. Its description in RNAcentral is "partial 16S ribosomal RNA". It matches the Rfam family "Bacterial small subunit ribosomal RNA", at positions 521 to 776 of the family's 1533-position model. The record is from RNAcentral.
UAAUACGGAGGAUCCAAGCGUUAUCCGGAUUUAUUGGGUUUAAAGGGUGCGUAGGCGGCCUAUUAAGUCAGGGGUGAAAGACGGUAGCUCAACUAUCGCAGUGCCUUUGAUACUGAUGGGCUUGAAUAUACUAGAGGUAGGCGGAAUGUGACAAGUAGCGGUGAAAUGCAUAGAUAUGUCACAGAACACCGAUUGCGAAGGCAGCUUACUAUGGUAUUAUUGACGCUGAGGCACGAAAGCGUGGGGAUCAAACAGG